GCUAGGAUGAACGCUAGCGGCAGGCCUAAUACAUGCAAGUCGAACGGUAAACGCCCCUUCGGGGGUGUGAGAGUGGCGCACGGGUGCGUAACGCGUAUGCAACCCACCCGCUGUCGGGGGAUAGCCCGGAGAAAUUCGAAUUAAUACCCCAUGAGGAGUGUUUGAGGCAUCUCAGGCAUUUCAAAACUAAGGUGACGGCGGACGGGCAUGCGUGCCAUUAGAUGGUUGGCGGGGUAACGGCCCACCAAGUCGACGAUGGCUAGGGGAUCUGAGAGGACGGUCCCCCACACUGGUACUGAGACACGGACCAGACUCCUACGGGAGGCAGCAGUAAGGGAUAUUGGUCAAUGGGGGGAACCCUGAACCAGCCAAUGCCGCGUGAGGGAAUAAGGCCCUACGGGUCGUAAACCUCUUUUGCCGGGGGAUAAGGACAGUUACGUGUAGCUGUUUGAAGGUACCCGGAGAAUAAGCAUCGGCUAACUCCGUGCCAGCCGCUGC
Molecule: ribosomal RNA, 498 nt
Filed under: uncultured bacterium
Lineage: Bacteria
Description: bacterial SSU rRNA
Rfam family: Bacterial small subunit ribosomal RNA
Source: RNAcentral